This 447-nucleotide long non-coding RNA is filed under the name Sus scrofa (pig). Its description in RNAcentral is "lncRNA (ENSSSCG00035077249.1, ENSSSCG00055015347.1, ENSSSCG00065076188.1)". Lineage: Eukaryota; Metazoa; Chordata; Mammalia; Artiodactyla; Suidae. The record is from RNAcentral.
CUUGAAAAAUCAGCUCCUUAAAGCCAACUACCAGGAAGCAUUCAUCAAAAGGCCACGUUGUGGUUCUGCAGCUCAUCAAGCGAAGGCCCGUGUGGGUGCUUGGGCCCUUCCACCCGGAAGAUGCCCAGGAACAGAAAACAUUUCGAAAAUGGUCCCAGAGAAGGAGAAAGCAGCAGCAUCGCACCCCACGUGAGCUGCAGAGAGGAAUCUGGAGACCCGGGUGUCCAUAUCAGGUCCCACUUUCCUGGAUCUACAGGCUUCUGCAAGCUCCUUACCUGCACACAGCCUCAGCCUUGUGUCUGUAGAAUGGAGGUAACGAUUCCUAACUCUCUGGAGGUUUGCAGUCAAAUGCGAUGGCGUGAGUGGAAAUGCCUACCACAACAUCAGCCACCUGUGCCAGGGCCUGAACUCACUGGCUUCAAGGGCUUACGCUUUGACUCCAUCUAA